RNAcentral lists this ribosomal RNA (443 nucleotides) under uncultured bacterium. Its description in RNAcentral is "partial 16S ribosomal RNA". It matches the Rfam family "Bacterial small subunit ribosomal RNA", at positions 338 to 795 of the family's 1533-position model. The record is from RNAcentral.
CCUACGGGUGGCAGCAGUGGGGAAUAUUGGUCAAUGGCGGCAACUCUGACCCAGCAACGCCGCGUGAAUGAUGAAGGUCUUCGGAUUGUAAAGUUCCUUGAUUGGGGAUGCACACUAUGACGGUACCACAAUAGCAAGCCACGGCUAAAUACGGGCCAGCAGCCGCUGUAAUACGUAGGUGGCAAUGCUUCUCCGGAAUGACUGGGGGUAAAGGGGGCGUGGGUUGUUCAGUAAGUUGGCGGUGUAAUUCCGGGGCUCGAACCCGGCGGUACCGCUAAAACUAUUAGUCUAGAGUGCAGGAGGGGUAUGUGGAAUGCCCAGUGUAGCGGUGGAAUGCGUAGAUAUUAGGAAGAACACCAGGGGCGAAGGCGACUUACUGGACUGUAACUGACACUGAGGCACGAAAGCGUGGGUAGCAAACAGGAUUAGAUACCCUAGUAGUC